CACGUAGGGGGCAAGCGUUUGUCCGGAUUUAUUGGGCGUAAAGAGCUCGUAGGUGGUUCGGUAAGUCGGGUGUUAAACCCCCAGGCUCAACCUGGGGACGCCACUCGAUACUGCUGUGACUAGAGUCCGGUAGGGGAGCGUGGAAUUCCUGGUGUAGCGGUGAAAUGCGCAGAUAUCAGGAGGAACACCAGCGGCGAAGGCGGCGCUCUGGGCCGGUACUGACACUGAGGAGCGAAAGCGUGGGUAGCAAACAGG
Molecule: ribosomal RNA, 255 nt
Filed under: uncultured bacterium
Lineage: Bacteria
Description: partial 16S ribosomal RNA
Rfam family: Bacterial small subunit ribosomal RNA
Source: RNAcentral